AGUCUUCAUCUCCCAAUGCCUUUGGUACCUUAUUGGAUGAACUACCUGUUGCCUGUGCUCGAGUGGCUAUGCCUUGUUAAACAGGUAUCCAUCAAGAAGCUUCUCAGCGUGAUCAUCAAUGUUGAAGAACAGUCGAUCCGUUUCAUGACUGAAGGUAUGGCAUUCAAUUACUACAUGCUAAAAAUCUUGACCAUAAUAAAUGUCCAUUUUCUUGUCUUUUAUCAUCUUAUGUCUUUAUGGUCCUGUUAUGAGAUUUUUCUUGAUUCUUACCUUGAUUUUUUGUAUAAAAUCCAUCCUCUUUUCUAUUCAUUUAUGUCUUAGCUACAGAACUAGCAUAUUCUUUCCACUAAUGUAUAUGUAAUGCAUUAUUAUUAAUAUUAUUUUUAAUUUCUUACGUUGUGUUGGUACAAGACUGUUUGUUAGAACAAGUCCUCUCAUUUGUAUUCUAGUGAGUUUCAUUUGACAAGAACAAUGCUAGACUCAGUCUGAGUUUAGCCAAACACUCAAAUAUAGUAGUUUCUGAACUCAUGAAUCGCUCAAGUGAGCUGAAACAGAGUAGGACUCACCUUAGAUUUUUGGUCCUUUUCUUGCAACGGGCCCAACUAAUAUGGUAAUGCAGCUUGGAAGAGGGUAGGGUAUGUAGUAUGAAAGGUAACCAGACCUACCUGUUCAACAUUUAGACUGAGUAAUCUAAUGGCUUAGGAAGUCUGGAGUAUUGAUUUGUGUCUAACUUCCAAUAUGUGUACCAACAGGAUAGCUUGUUGUGGAGGAUGAUUACUCUUCAUCAUGUCUGUUUGUUUACCUGUGUGAACAUAUAUACAUAGAUUACAACCAAAAGCAAAGAAGUAGACUGUAAGAGUGUGACAACUGUAUUAAAUUUUAUGGAGAAAUAAUGGGUACGUUCAUCCUCUAGUCCAUUGAAAUCUAGAGAAGCACCCAGUAAAUAUGGAAGAAUCAUUCUCUAAAUACAACAACUUCCACCCAUUCCUGCUAAAACUGUGAACUCUUCGUUGAAUCAUUCUCAAUUCUACAACAGAAACUCAAUGAUGUUGUUUCUAUCUUUCUCAAUGUACUGAGGAUGAAAGGGAAGACUGAGAGAGUAAUGAGUGCCUUCAUUUCAGAAGGAACAUUUCCUCCACAGCUGUUUGGUUGGGACUGACAUCUUUCUUCUUUGAGGACAUAGGUUGGAGCAUCCUUGUUGGACUAGUUCUUGUGGAAUGGUCUUGUUUCUAUUUCCAUAUCAAACAUUGAUAUGUUUCCAUUGUAAAUGCAUGGAAGUAAUGUUCGUGCAACUCCGGUCUCCAUUCUCUCUUUCACUCAUUUGAUAACUAACCGUAAUGUGAUUGUUACAUUAGAGUGAGAGAGUACGGGUUGUGUGUAUCUGAAGUGGGAGAGUAUGGGGGAUGUAUCCCAGCUAAACCGAUGAACACUAUCUUGACUCACUUUCAACAAUACAACCCAAACCCAGUUGUGUCGGCUCUAUCCAUUUUAAUGCAGACACAGCUGAUUCAGAAGUCUGAGAGGAGUAAUGACUCCCUUUUAUUGACAAAGAACAUUCCUUCCACAACUGUUUGGUUGGAACAGAUAUCUUUCGUCUAUGAGGACAUAUGUUGGAGCUAUUCUUGGCGGUUCUGUGAAAGGCACAACUGCAGUUCUUGUGGUACGGUCUUCGUUCUAUUUCAGUAUCGAAUACUGAUAUGCUUCCAUUAUAGACACAUUGAAGUAGGGCUCCAGCAACUCCAGUCUCCAUUUCUUAGUCACUGCAAUGUGGUUGUGUAUUCUACUGAGUGAGUGAAAGUGUGUGUCUGUAGAUUAGUUUGUGUGGGUAACUGAUAUUCCUUCGAAGCUGUGAAGUGUUUAAAUAGGAAGGCGCGAAAGCUCUGGUGACAGAAUUGAUAUCACCAAGGAAUUUGUGACCGUUGAGUACUAAGCUCUGCAGUUAGAGAAGUCUCUUGUCUCAACUAUCGAGUUCUUUUGGCGUUUUUAUGAAUUUAAUUGUGGUUUAGUCCCAUUACUUCCAACAGUAACCUAAAGCAAGAUGUUGAAAUGCAACUUAGGAAUAAGUGCAGGAGCGAGGAAGAAAUUGGAACCUUACUUGGGAAAUAUGGAAGGAGUGUGUUACUAGAAAAGUUCAUUUUAGGGUCUGAUGAUCACGAAGUUUGCCUCUUAAUCAACGUUUUCUGAUUAUUUUAUAACUCUAAUAGUAUAUUAGUAUUGACCCGUCACUUUGUACUUGCUGUACUAUGUGGGAAUCUAUCUGAUGCACCACAGUAUUACCUAAAGUGAUCCUUGACUACGUAAGUGUAAUUGUUGCUUAUGUCACUUGAUUGUCAUUGAUGGAUAAGGAUGUGCAAUCAUAAAGAGUAAUUUUAUAGCAUAGUACAUUCUUAUCAUAUACUACAAAAUUUGUAGCUGGAAGAACACCAUCAUUGUCAUAAAUGUAGUCAAAACAUCUCUAAAUGCUGGCCAUUGAUCUGAUAAACUUUCUGAAAGAUCUAUGUUCUGGUUCUUUGUUUAUAUGAUGCUUGGCGAUUUUAGAAAGUGUUACUAUUUCAAUAUGUUGCAGCCAUUGUCAUACUAAAUCAUUUAACAUUGUAUACAUCAAUUCAUGAUGUUGUAGUCGUACUAGUUCUGUACAGGCAUGAAAGGAGUCUUUGAUAUCCCAGUCCUUUUGAUAUUUUUUAAUACCUCAAAAUUAUAAAUGUUUUAUACACUGAGAUAAAUGAUUGUUGUUGACAGUUAUAGAUGUUAAAUGGCCGUUGUAACUCUUUUCAAAUGUAUAAUAUAAUAAGCGAAUAUUAUAUUCUCUUUUCAAAUGUAUAAUAUAAUAAGUCGAACAUUAUAUUGAAUUUAAUAGUUGAUGUGUGGCCUUCGGAAUAGUUGAAUAUUCAUAAUAGUAUGUUUUAUGCUGAAUUGUUUAAUGAGUAUAAUUCUAGAUAUGAUAAAAAAAAACUUUAACACAAAUUCUGUUUAGUUAUUGCAGAUUGCAGCCAGAAAAUUCAUCAAAACCGGGAACAACCCUGUUGAUGUACGGUAGCACAAAGAUAUAUUUUUUUUAUGCUCUAGCAAUUAUGCCGAAACACCUCUGCAUAGUGAAAAUAGAUAUUCAGUUAAGCUACUGCAAAAAAUGCAGUGAAGUAUUAAUGGAGUUGAACUGUGGAUGUUUAAACCAUGCUGUUUACUGUUCUCUCCAUUUGCUGUCUAGGCUACCAAAGUAGAAUUGCGGGAUAUGCCGAGUUGUCUUAAUCUGUUGUCAGAAAUGGGGAGAUCUUUUACUUUAAAGCUGCACCAAUGUAACGUGAGAACAUACUGUUUACUCUAGUCCAUUCGAUGACUCAAGGUGAGGCCAGCUUUAUAUUUCUCCCACCUGUGAUUACCUGAACAACUUACAUACUAGUUGCACUUUGAACUGCUCUAGGCCUCCGGAACCAUUUUCAUACCAGUGAUCUUUAAAAUCAUUUUUGGGAUAAAAACCAGACUUGUGAUUCUUAAGUUUACACAACUUUUGUGGAAAAUAUAUUUUCAGCAACAAAAACAUACGAUUGCAUAAGAAGAAAAAAGAAAGAAUCAUAAACAGCACAUACUUGUUCCUGAAUACUUUGUUUCGCUCCUAAAGUUGGAUGCACUAAUUUCCAUGCACAUGGGAAUAGAGUGUGAAUUUAGUUCAAAGGCGUUAACAUGUAACUAUGUUCUUUAUCAAAUAGGAGUAAAUCCACCAGCUGCAGUUAUACUGGUCAAGAGUUGUUUUGAAAACAAAAACCCUUUUGUUGAAUUUUCACAUCUUCAAUAGGUGAUUGAUGAUACUUGGAAUGGUCACCUUGUUUGAGGUGGCUCCUUGGUGAAAGUGAUAGUGGGGUAGGUGUUCAAAAGGGGGAGGAGGGCUGUCCCAAAGUGGUCGGAAGAAAUAAGUAAUCUUCUGGGCAUUAUGGAAAGUUCCAGCCACACACUGAUGCACAUACCAAAAAGAAUAAGAUAAAACAAAUGAUUCUUAGAUGGAACUUGUCUAGCCGUAGAGCUUGGAGCCAUGUCUAAGAAACUUUGGUAGAUCCUGAGUGCGAAUCACAAACAAUAAGCUUUAACUGACAUAUCUGCUAACUCCACUCUCUCUGCACAAAUUUCUCAAAGGGUUAAGGAGACUAGGAUAGAGGUGCACAAAUCAUGGUUUAUGGAGUUUAACCGCCAGGCAAACAAUUAAAGGGUUAGGUUUCUCGUCAGGCCAAAGUGUAGAAGCAGUGUUUUGUGGAGUCUAACCGACAAGAAAAAUUGAAGGUGUGAGCUUUCUCAAUAGGCUAAAGUGUAAUUCUUUUAAUAUCUUGCAGUUCACUUGAACUGUACUCCGCAGUCUCAAGAAAAUUACCAAUGAAAAUACCUUUGUAGAUUGAGUGUUCUGAAGAAGUUUUCUAUGGACUAUGCAGAUCAUAAAUCCUUGGAAGAAGAAUUUGGGAUUGCAUUUCCACUUUUUUUGCAGCUUGUGCAGUGCUAUAAAAAAAAUAAAAAAAAACCUUAUACUUACCUCAUGUUCCUGCUUUCAUCCAAUGCACAAAAGAUACCACCUCUGAAAACUUCCAAGUACAGCCCUCUGACCUGUACUCUGUUGCUCAUGAUCCACCAACCUUAAGAUGUUGGCGGUUCUUGAAAUUCAUCAUUAAGAUAUAUGGAUGCCCUCGGAGUUUGAAAGCAUACAACCUUACCUCAUGGAGUAAAUUCGUACAGGCUGCAACUCAUAUAUGAUUUACUACCCCUUUUUAGACAGGUAUCCAUGAAGAAUUUUUCAGCUUGAUCAACAAUGUGAAAGAACAGUGUUUGUAUUUCUUGAAACUUGCAAACCAUUUAACUACUAAAAUGUAUGACAUUCUAGCCAACAUUGCUUAUUAGAUGUUCAGAAGCAAUGAAAUCUACCUUGAAAUCUUCGUCAUAAAAAUAAGUACUUCCCUUUGUCUUUAUCUGAUGCAUUUUCUUGAUUCUCCCUUCGCUUCUUUGAUAUCAAUUAUUUUGCUCAUUAUAUACAAUUUUGUCUUUAAUUGGCCAUCACAAAUAGUAACAUAUAAUUUUUUACUUGUAUAUAUGUGAAGCAUUUUUUAUAAUGUUAUUUUUUUACUUCUUUUGGAACAGAGCUUGUUAAUACUCAAAACAAUGUCCUGUCACUUGUAUUUUAUUGAGUUUCCAUUUGACAAGAACAAUGCUAGACUCAGUCUGAGUUUGACCAAAUUUUCUGUGUUGAAACUCAGGCUGAGUAACUACUCCCAACUCAUGAAGAACACCAGGGAGAUGAAACUGAGCUGGGCUUACCUUAAUUUCUGAUCUUUUUCUCUGCCCAAAAUUAUAUGGUAAUGCAGCUUUAAAGAGUGUAAGGAAUGGAGUAUCUAAGAAAUUUCAAGGUAACCUUACCUACUUGUUCAACUGAAUCAUCUAUUGGAUUUGGGGAUAUUCGAACUUUGGUUUUUGUAUCCCUUCCUACAUGUGUACCAUCAGCGUGGCUAAUUGCGGACAACAUUUAUUUCUUCGUCAUGUCUGUAUACCUGUAUAUAUGAACAUGAGUGCAUAUAUGAAAAAAUAAAAUAAAAUAAGUAGACUGUAUGAGUAUGUCAACAUUGUAUUUAAUUUACAUGGGGAAAAAGGGUACACUCAUCCUCUAGUCCAUUUUGGAAUCUAGAGAAGCACCCUGUAAGCUGUACGGAGGAAGAAAUCAUUUAACUACAACAACCUCCAACUAACCCUGCUACCUAAAUUCUAAACUCUUUCUUGAUUCAUUCUCAACCCAAUGACACAAACUAAAAUGUGUUGUUUCUAUCUUUCUUGGUAUUGCAGAUGAAGAACACUGAGAGGAGUACUGAAUGCCUUCAUUUGACAAGGAGCAGUCCUUCCACAGCUGUUUGGUUGGCACUGAUAUCUUUCUUCUGUGAGGACAUUGGU
Molecule: long non-coding RNA, 5913 nt
Filed under: Aquilegia coerulea
Lineage: Eukaryota; Viridiplantae; Streptophyta; Magnoliopsida; Ranunculales; Ranunculaceae
Description: long non-coding RNA (ACOE_LNC001210)
Source: RNAcentral